Long non-coding RNA from Magallana angulata, 533 nucleotides. RefSeq lists it as uncharacterized. The record is from RefSeq and is a predicted model, not a curated record. Lineage: Eukaryota; Metazoa; Mollusca; Bivalvia; Ostreida; Ostreidae. The transcript has 3 exons.
AAAAAAUUGGCCAAAACAAUACAAAAAGUGUACUUGCUUUUUCGACUCUGAAUGAGAAUAAAACUUGCAAUUUCAUAGACGAUGGACAGGCAGGAAAUAUUAUUGAGAAAUGUAAUGAUGUAUCUUGUCAUAACUGGAUCUGCAUGGGGCAAGAAAUUAUUUAAAAACAGACCAGGACACAGUCGUCUGAAUCGUCAACAGCCAGUACGAUGUAGAUCUUAGCAGAAAAUGAAGAUGUCAUUGGAACAUUUGAUGAAAUCUAUUUUUAACGUUUCAGCAAUUAUUUAGAAAUGAAAUAAAAUGAUUUGUUAACCUUGUUGUUUCAAACAAACUGAAUGUCGGUCUUGAAGACGAAAGUUGUUGAAAUAUGUUUCCAUCAAUAUAUCUGGUCGCCGAGACCAGAUAAAGAAAACGAACGAGACACAUGCACAAAAGUGAUACAUACAGAGAAACAAAUCAUAUCAAUUUGCAAAAAGAGGCACUUUUGAUUUAUUGGAACAACAAUGGAUUCAUUCACAAUUUUUAGCUGUUAG